UUCAUCGUAAGAGUAGUAAAACUAUUUGUUACUACUUUGAUAAGAAAGAAUUCGUUCGUAACGUUCGUUCCCCGAAGAAUAAUUUAUACAACGCUACGAACGAAUCGUUAUUAUUUCACGACAUGAUUAUUACGCUGAAUUAUAGAAUGACAAUAUUAUGAAAGGCAAAUUACAUGUUGAUUCUAUAAAAUUUGAAUGUUUCUCAGCUCCAGACGACCGAACGUCCAUCUUCCGCGAAGGUUUAUUCGAUUGUUUUCGACUGCUAAAUCCAGUUCUGGUGUCUGACAUAUUACGGAGAAGACUGUGUCUAAAGUACCCUGGUAAAUGUUACGAAUGCAAAAGAUAAUACGACUUGUUUAAUAAGCCUAUAAUGCAGUUAAAAUCAAAAGUCUUUUCCAAAAAUAAGAUUUACUAAUAUCAUUUCCACGAGAACUUGACAAGUUGAUUAAAUAUCAUACGUGUGUUGAAGUUUAUUAAAAAUCUAACUUCAGGGUGUUAAGAAGAUAUGUCAACGUCAAGGUCAACCAUCUACGAUUCAAGGUCAUUCAAGGUCACUGACUAAUAAAGCACUGAUAUGAAUAAGAA
Long non-coding RNA from Hylaeus anthracinus, 585 nucleotides. RefSeq lists it as uncharacterized. The transcript has 3 exons. The record is from RefSeq and is a predicted model, not a curated record. Lineage: Eukaryota; Metazoa; Arthropoda; Insecta; Hymenoptera; Colletidae.